GGACCAUAGCUCAGCGGUGGAGAAUCUGCUUUGCAUGCAGAAGGUCUCAGGUUCAGUUCUUGGCAUCUUCA
This is a non-coding RNA of Podarcis lilfordi (Lilford's wall lizard), 71 nucleotides long. The record is from the annotation of a GenBank genome assembly. NCBI's taxonomy places the organism in Eukaryota, Metazoa, Chordata, Lepidosauria, Squamata, Lacertidae.